CGCCCUAAGAAAUAUUGCAAUGUAACAUUACAGUAACAUUAUGAUGCAAUGUAUUUGUAAUAAUAUGAGCACGAUAAGAUUGUAGAUUAGCUGUGCUGACACAAAUAUUUAAGCUUUAAUAUUAUUAUAUCUUUAUGGUAGUAGAGUGAUGUUUGCUUUUAGACUAAUAAUUUUAUUAUAAAAUUAUUUGUAUCUAUUAGAACGAUAUAUGAAGAUGAUGUCAGAGGUUAAUAAUAUUAAAGAUUAAAUAUGUGUCAGUACAGCUAACAAGUUGUGUUCAUCAGUGCUCACAGUUUCAUAUCAAUGAGUUAAAAGAGCACUUUGGAAACAUAAAGUUUUAAACAAAUAAAAUAAAAA
Molecule: long non-coding RNA, 357 nt
Organism: Ooceraea biroi (clonal raider ant)
Lineage: Eukaryota; Metazoa; Arthropoda; Insecta; Hymenoptera; Formicidae
Source: RefSeq, a predicted model, not a curated record